GACGAACGCUGGCGGCGUGCUUAACACAUGCAAGUCGAGCGGUAAGGCCCUUUCGGGGGUACACGAGCGGCGAACGGGUGAGUAACACGUGGGUGACCUGCCCUCAGCUCUGGGAUAAGCCUGGGAAACUGGGUCUAAUACUGGAUAUGACUCCACGGUGCAUGUCGUGGGGUGGAAAGCCUUGUGCGGCUGAGGAUGGGCCCGCGGCCUAUCAGCUUGUUGGUGGGGGGAUGGCCUACCAAGGCGACGACGGGUAGCCGGCCUGAGAGGGCGACCGGCCACACUGGGACUGAGACACGGCCCAGACUCCUACGGGAGGCAGCAGUGGGGAAUCUUGCGCAAUGGGCGAAAGCCUGACGCAGCGACGCCGCGUGAGGGAUGACGGCCU
Molecule: ribosomal RNA, 388 nt
Filed under: uncultured bacterium
Lineage: Bacteria
Description: bacterial SSU rRNA
Rfam family: Bacterial small subunit ribosomal RNA
Source: RNAcentral